AUGGGGAAAGACGCAGGAAUCCACCAGCCCACGGGACACACACGUAGCUGGGCAGAAGACCACGGAUUCGGCCACCUGAAGGAGCCCGGUGGGGAACCCGCACGUGGAGGCACGGGGAAAUCCCAGGUGCACACAGCACGGGGGCCGAGAUCGAGGGUCGCUUACGAAACCAGAGGACGAGCAAAUCCUCCUCAGUGCUACAAUACCCUGGCGUUUAUGGCACACAGGAGGAGGAGACCUGGAGCCAGCAGUCCUCACACCCUCAGCAUGGUUGUGCAGAUGUGUCACUGGAGGUUGGAUGGGUCAUCACUUGGACCACGUUCAAGCCACUCCCUGUGGAGUCUGAAAAAUAAAACUUUACAUAUCUACAGGGCUCGAGGGGACAGAGGCGAGUGGCAUCAUCCAGAACAGCACUGACCCUGUGAGCCCUGCAGCCUGUGGAGAGCUGCAGGGCCACGUUCAAACACACCUCAAAUGGAGUCUCUGCUUCUCCCCACUGGUAGCAUACAGAAUUUGGGGCCUGGAAAUGCAAAGAGUGAACUGCAGGUGCCUUUUGUGGUAACAGUAGACAUCCAUGUCCAGAAUGAGCACCACAGAUGGUGGUUUGAGGAGAUCCCCUGGUUCUGGGGCCUUGUAUCUUCUGGGCCUUGUAUCGUGCUGUCUCUCCCUAGUCACAGCCCCAGCAGCUGGAAAAGCCUCCUGAGGCAGAAUUCCAAGUCAUUUUAUACAAAAUAUGGUAAUUAAUGGCCUGAAACAUUUCCAAAUAAAGUGCUACAAAGACAUGACAAUGAUCAUUUUGCCUGGAUUCGAGCCUGGGCCGGUGACCAGCCCUGUCAUGUACCCACACCUGCCGAGCCAGCGCCCAGCCUGUGCCCGUGUUUUCCUUCCACUUUCUUCUCCCGUACUCUGUCGUGGCUGUCAGGAUGCCAAGAGACAUGCGAGACCCCGGGCCAAAAUAGCGACGUAGACAUGCCCAGAGAGGAAAGCUGGCACGAGGUGAUAUAUAAGGUGAGAUACGUGAAGCCGCAGGCGAAUAGUUUGGUGAGCACGUGGGUAGGUUAGGCUUGGCAGGGGGCAGAGCCUGUCUGCCCAUCCAGAAAGGCAGAGGCAAAACUUUAUCAGCUUUGAGAAGUGUUGGAGGCCUUCCUGGUGAGAGCUUCAAGGGAGUAAACCAAAAUAAUUUCCCCAGAAGGGCUGAGGUGUAGGACUCAGUCAUGUCCCUGUGGGGCCACAAACACCUUUCAAGGGAGGCUUUUGCUGAAAGGGAUGAUUCCUGUUCCCCAAAUACCCCACUCCCCGGGAUGUUUUCCAUUUCACGAUAAGGUCCGGGAGUGACUGGAGGAAGGAGCAUGCACCGUGGGCAAGGGGAUCCUCCAUAUCUCUCCUCAGCAUUGACCUAGAAAGUUAAACCUCAAAGGACAGAAGAGGACAACUCAUUCCCCACAGCUGGGGGAACUGUGGCACUGUGAGGCAGCGAGACACACCAUGGAUACACUGCCCAAAAACACCUAAUUACCUUCCUAAUUACCUUAUUCCCCAAAAGUGAAAGUCUCUGUGGGUUGCUACCACUGCUCACGGCCAUCCAGUCCCUUGCUGAACAUUUCUGAUCAAAGCCUUUCCAAGCUGAUCUAUUUUCAGCUCGGCCCACUCAAUACCUUGAUUGCUACACAGCUCUUUUAGCUGCUCUUAGGUAAACACGCUGUCGUUCCCUGGCAUUUUGCCUUGCCAAGCCCAAAAAUACAAGUGGCACAGAAGAAGAAGAGAGGCUGUUCUCCUCCUCCUGGAAAAAUGAUGCUAUUUCUGAAAUAAACUGUUUUAAAUACACCUCCCCGACCAUGGGCAUAUACCUGUGUGUAUAAAUACACUUGACCUGGAGGUCCCACUGUUGGCAUCUUGCAUGCCUGUAUGGAGACAGAACAGAGAGGGAAUUAUAUACAUAUAAACCACGGCACUCCUUCAGAAUGGGGAGUCUUGCUAAUGAUGAAAUAGCAGGGUCUGAAUCCCACUAGGACAGGCCCACAUGUACUGGUCCCAGCUCAAACCAGAGUGUUACAGGCUCUUCUGGAGAGCAGAGAGUCCUUGGGUGCCCACCAUGCUGCCCGUGCCUCAUACCCCCAGUGGAGCAGGGGGUACAGAUCAGACACGAUGGUCCCUCUGAGCUAAAGAGCCCAGAAGUUAUCCCAGAAGUUAUCACUGCUGGGGGCUGUGCAAGCCAGCGCGGUGUUGUUCCUUCCUGGCUCACACCCCUGUUUCUCCACGAGCCGAGACCUUAUUUUUGAGGAAUGACAGUGACAUUGGCCAGAUCCCGAAGUCACUUUUUCAGAUUUCCCUUUAGCAAGUAAACACGUAGAAGUCAACAACAGAUGGAGCAUCACAUGGAGCUACGCAGGUCAGCAAAAGGCUUCAGAGACCCUGUGAGCCUGAAGAAAAAAAAAUAAGCUGGCAGGGGGGAGCGG
Cairina moschata (Muscovy duck) is the source of this 2456-nucleotide long non-coding RNA. The record is from Ensembl. NCBI's taxonomy places the organism in Eukaryota, Metazoa, Chordata, Aves, Anseriformes, Anatidae.